This 502-nucleotide ribosomal RNA is filed under the name uncultured Comamonadaceae bacterium. Its description in RNAcentral is "partial 16S ribosomal RNA". Lineage: Bacteria; Pseudomonadati; Pseudomonadota; Betaproteobacteria; Burkholderiales; Comamonadaceae. The record is from RNAcentral.
CACGUAGUUAGCCGGUGCUUAUUCUUACGGUACCGUCAUCAGUCCUCUUUAUUAAAAAGAACCUUUUCGUUCCGUACAAAAGCAGUUUACAACCCGAAGGCCUUCUUCCUGCACGCGGCAUUGCUGGAUCAGGCUUUCGCCCAUUGUCCAAAAUUCCCCACUGCUGCCUCCCGUAGGAGUCUGGGCCGUGUCUCAGUCCCAGUGUGGCUGGUCGUCCUCUCAGACCAGCUACAGAUCGUCGACUUGGUAAGCCUUUACCCCACCAACUAUCUAAUCUGACAUCGGCCGCUCCAAUCGCGCGAGGCCCGAAGGUCCCCCGCUUUCACCCUUAGGUCGUAUGCGGUAUUAGCUGCUCUUUCGAGCAGUUAUCCCCCACGACUGGGCACGUUCCGAUGCUUUACUCACCCGUUCGCCACUCGUCAGCAUCCGAAGACCUGUUACCGUUCGACUUGCAUGUGUAAGGCAUGCCGCCAGCGUUCAAUCUGAGCCAGGAUCAAACUCU